Molecule: ribosomal RNA, 468 nt
Filed under: uncultured bacterium
Lineage: Bacteria
Description: partial 16S ribosomal RNA
Rfam family: Bacterial small subunit ribosomal RNA
Source: RNAcentral
GACGAACGCUGGCGGCGUGCUUAACACAUGCAAGUCGAACGGAAAGGCCCUGCUUUUGUGGGGUGCUCGAGUGGCGAACGGGUGAGUAACACGUGAGUAACCUGCCCUUGACUUUGGGAUAACUUCAGGAAACUGGGGCUAAUACCGGAUAGGAGCUCCUGCUGCAUGGUGGGGGUUGGAAAGUUUCGGCGGUUGGGGAUGGACUCGCGGCUUAUCAGCUUGUUGGUGGGGUAGUGGCUUACCAAGGCUUUGACGGGUAGCCGGCCUGAGAGGGUGACCGGCCACAUUGGGACUGAGAUACGGCCCAGACUACGACGGGAAGCAGCAGUGGGGAAUAUUGAACAAUGGGCGGAAGCCUGAUGCAGCAACGCCGCGUGCGGGAUGACGGCCUUCGGGUUGUAAACCGCUUGCGCCUGUGACGAAGCGUGAGUGACGGUAAUGGGUAAAGAAGCACCGGCUAACUACGUG